This 506-nucleotide ribosomal RNA is filed under the name uncultured bacterium. RNAcentral's name for it is "partial 16S ribosomal RNA". It matches the Rfam family "Bacterial small subunit ribosomal RNA", at positions 29 to 523 of the family's 1533-position model. The record is from RNAcentral.
AGUGAACGCUGGCGGCAGGCCUAAUACAUGCAAGUCGGACGGCAGCACAGCAGAGCUUGCUCUGUGGGUGGCGAGUGGCGGACGGGUGAGGAAUACAUGGGAAUCUGCCCAGUCGUGGGGGAUAACGUAUGGAAACGUACGCUAAUACCGCAUGCGCCCUUAGGGGGAAAGCCGGGGACCGAAAGGCCUGGCGCGAUUGGAUGAGCCAAUGUUCGAUUAGCUAGUUGGCGGGGUAAAGGCCCACCAAGGCGACGAUCGAUAGCUGGUCUGAGAGGAUGAUCAGCCACACUGGGACUGAGACACGGCCCAGACUCCUACGGGAGGCAGCAGUAGGGAAUAUUGGACAAUGGGCGCAAGCCUGAUCCAGCCAUGCCGCGUGAGUGAAGAAGGCCCUCGGGUUGUAAAGCUCUUUUGUCCGGAAAGAAAAGCAUUCGGUUAAUACCCGGGUGUUCUGACGGUACCGGAAGAAUAAGCACCGGCUAACUUCGUGCCAGCCGCCGCUGUAA